GGCAGGAUAAUUUGACGGAUCCAAAUUGGCAUCCAUUUAAAGUUGUUACUAUCGAUGGGGAUUCCCAGGAGAAUAUUGAUGAGGACGAUGAGAAGCUGAAAGGUCUCAAGCAGGAGUGGGGUGAUGAGAUAUACAAUGCCGUUGUUACUGCCCUUAAAGAAAUGAAUGAAUAUAAUCCAAGUGGUCGUUAUUCUGUUCCUGAGCUAUGGAACUUUAAGGAUGGAAGGAAAGCUACUCUGAAGGAGGUCAUCAACUAUAUUGUUAAGAGCAUCAAGUCACUAAAACGAAAGAGAACAUGAGAAGAUCCGAGAAGGGGAAAAGAACACGAGAAGAAGGUGAAGGAUUCG
This 347-nucleotide unclassified non-coding RNA is filed under the name Hevea brasiliensis (rubber tree). Lineage: Eukaryota; Viridiplantae; Streptophyta; Magnoliopsida; Malpighiales; Euphorbiaceae. The record is from RNAcentral.